This 250-nucleotide ribosomal RNA is filed under the name uncultured bacterium. RNAcentral describes it as "partial 16S ribosomal RNA". It matches the Rfam family "Bacterial small subunit ribosomal RNA", at positions 524 to 773 of the family's 1533-position model. The record is from RNAcentral.
UACGAAGGGUCCAAGCGUUGUUCGGAAUCAUUGGGCGUAAAGCGCGCGCAGGCGGAUCAGUAAGUCAGGUGUGAAAUCUCGGGGCUCAACCUCGAAAUUGCGCCUGAAACUACUAGUCUAGAGUGUCGGAGGGGGCAGGGGAAUUUCACGUGUAGGGGUAAAAUCCGUAGAGAUGUGAAGGAACACCGGAGGCGAAGGCGCCUGCCUGGACGACUACUGACGCUGAGGCGCGAAAGCGUGGGGAGCAAAC